CGAAGGGAGGGGCCUGGGUUCCGGCUGGCUGCCUGGCACGGCGGCUGGGGUGGGGGUGAAAUGCAGGGUCCGGAAGGGCGGGGCUCACACGGAAAGCAGGGUGGAGGCGCUGUAGGCCGGUGCGGGUUUAGGGCUGAGCAGGGCAGGGGAAAGCGGGAAAAUGCAAAGGCCUCGCAUGUCCGAGGAAGGACCUAUAGGAGUGCGGCGGAGGCGCGGCGCGGCCGCUGAGUGGUCGAGGAGGCGCGGGGGCGGGGCUAGGCUGCCGCAGGGCAGUACGGCCCUCGGUGCCUGUGCCCGGGCUGAGGAGACCUUCCUCGACACCCCACGUUAUGUGGGUUUCCGCAAGACCUUCCGCCAUUGCCUGGGCUUUGAAAGCGCUUUAGGAACGAUACGGAAACGGAGGCUUAGAAGUGGAAACUUUACAGAUAUGGAAACUGAGACUUAGAAAAAUGACCCGUCAAAGGCUCAGCUCAUCAUGAAGAAUGUCCAUGUGACUUUGGUUAAUAAAAUGUGAGGAAUCCAAAGUUCAAGAAAAGUUCAAAUAACCCACUCACAGUUGCACAGCUAGAGGGAGAGCUGGGAUAGAUCUAUAAAGCUGCAACUCCUGUGCACACAGAAAUAUGAAGCCACUUUCACCCUCUGGAAUCCUUCAGAUUCCUUCAACUUCCAGCUAAUGGAGAAACAGGUUCUUCAGGAAGACCCCAGCCUUUGCUGCAUACAAAGAGAGCCCAAAGCCCUAGGCAGUCCUAGUUGGAAAACAGAACUGUAGAUGCUUACUAAUAUGGUAAGCAGAAAUUUUUCAGGGCAGUGCAGUAUACACUGAAUAAGAAAAGGGUGAAACAACAAGGGAAGAGGCAAUUUCCACUCAACUAUAAGAUUAAGAAAUUAGAAGGAAAUUGAUAGACAAUAUGAAAUAGUGUUUGAGACUAUCUCUCUGGAGCCAGGCCAUCAGGAUUGCCA
RNAcentral lists this long non-coding RNA (960 nucleotides) under Homo sapiens (human). Its description in RNAcentral is "HSALNT0302408". The record is from RNAcentral. Lineage: Eukaryota; Metazoa; Chordata; Mammalia; Primates; Hominidae.